GGAGUUUGGACCGUGUCUCAGUUCCAAUGUGGGGGACCUUCCUCUCAGAACCCCUACUGAUCGCAGGCUCGGUGGGCCGUUACCCCGCCGACAACCUAAUCAGACGCAUCCCCAUCCCAUAGCGAUGAAUCUUUGUUCCUCGUUAGAUGCCUGCAAAGGAAACAUAGGGUAUUAAUCCGAAUUUCUCCGGGCUAUCCCCUACUGUGCGGAAGGUUGGAUACGCGUUACUCACCCGUGCGCCGGUCGCCAUCAAGGUUUGCAAGCAAACCCCAUGCUGCCCCUCGACUUGCAUGUGUUAAGCCUGUAGCUAGCGUUCAUCCUGAGCCAGGAUCAGACUCU
RNAcentral lists this ribosomal RNA (339 nucleotides) under uncultured Prevotella sp. RNAcentral's name for it is "partial 16S ribosomal RNA". The record is from RNAcentral. Lineage: Bacteria; Pseudomonadati; Bacteroidota; Bacteroidia; Bacteroidales; Prevotellaceae.